This 400-nucleotide ribosomal RNA is filed under the name uncultured bacterium. Its description in RNAcentral is "bacterial SSU rRNA". It matches the Rfam family "Bacterial small subunit ribosomal RNA", at positions 355 to 752 of the family's 1533-position model. The record is from RNAcentral.
UGGGGAAUAUUGGACAAUGGGGGAAACCCUGAUCCAGCCACGCCGCGUGAGUGAUGAAGGCCUUCGGGUCGUAAAGCUCUGUGGGGAGGGACGAACGUCCCCGUGAAGAACGGGGGGUGACGGUACCUCCUUAGCAAGCACCGGCUAACUUCGUGCCAGCAGCCGCGGUAAUACGAAGGGUGCAAACGUUGCUCGGAAUCAUUGGGCGUAAAGCGCACGUAGGCGGCUUAUCAAGUCGGAUGUGAAAUCCCUCGGCUCAACCGAGGACGUGCAUCCGAAACUGGUGAGCUCGAGUAUGGAAGAGGGUCGCAGAAUUCCCGGUGUAGAGGUGAAAUUCGUAGAUAUCGGGAGGAAUACCAGUGGCGAAGGCGGCGACCUGGGCCAAUACUGACGCUGAGGU